Molecule: long non-coding RNA, 1175 nt
Organism: Cornus florida
Lineage: Eukaryota; Viridiplantae; Streptophyta; Magnoliopsida; Cornales; Cornaceae
Exons: 5
Source: RefSeq, a predicted model, not a curated record
AUAUAUAUAUAUAUAUAUAUAUAUAUGAAGUCUCCAAUGGCUAUAUCACUAGCAGUUUGAAUGUAUUUCACUUUUUUUUGCAUCAAAUGUUACAUAGGGGUAGAUUAGUCUAAUUUAUUAAAUUAUAAAGUUCAAAAAGCCCACUAAAAGGUCAAGUAACUAGCAGAUUGGUGUCAUGUUUGAAAUUUUGAAUAACAUGGAAGGCUUAGGGCCUGUUUGUUAACUGUUUUGCUUUGGUGUUUUUGUUACAGGGCUUCAUUGCAAGCCCAAAAACAUGUUUGGUAGCUAUUGUUUUGUUUUAAAUAGUCCUAAAACAUUAUUUUAAAUAGUAUUAAAUUUGGGCCUAAAAGUGAAACACCAAAAUGGUGUUUUUUGUUGUUUCAAUACUGUAACCCAAUAAAAAGCACUGUAGCGGAUGAAGUAAGUUGGGUCUAACACUGUAGCGGAUGAAGUAACUUUAAAAGGCAUUUGCAACAUUCGGCCCGAUAUUUUCUCUCUCCUCUGAAACCCUAGACUCUGGCGAUUUGGGAGGCGAUUUGGGAGGCAACGAAAAGGAAUCGCGAUAUUGUCUGUACAAGACGAUUCCAGCUUUAGAGCUUGAUUGUGCUAUUCGAGGACAGUUUUCCAUUCGUCAGAUUACCUCGGACUAGGCUUAUCUAUCCUUCCUCAGCGACCUGGACAGAUUGAAUGCGAUGGACCCAAUUACUUUGAGGUUGACGUCAACAUUCAUCGCUUCAGCUACAUAGCAAGGAAGGGACUCGACGCAUUCCGAGAAUACAGAUGUGAAGCGUGUUGAUACUUUUUUGAAAGUGAUGUGUGCAGUUAUGUAGAUGACGUGUCCUACUAUUGAAGCUUGUUCCAUGGAAGUGAAAUUCGUAUUGUUUGAAGUAUGUCUCCUAUAAGGAAAACAUAAGGAAAUAUCUUUUUAUUUGUUAAGCAUCUUUCUCUUCGUUUUUGAAUCCUAUUGUUGAAAUUUGUAAACAAUGAAGUGAAUUAUGUUUGAAUUUUGAAUUAUAUCUCCUGUUUAAUUUAAUCUACUCUUUAAUUUGUUUUUAAUUUCUUUAUCAUUUUUCCUACUACAGAAGAAUGAGUAUGAUUUGAAAAGCUUCCAUUCUAGCAGGGUGCUUUUUUUUUUUUAAUUUUUUUUGAUAUGUUAUGACUCCUUGAUAGAUGUU